CUCCUCCAGAUAAGGGCAAUAACUGGAUGUGAAUGCAAGGAAAUGAACUUGGCUUUUCUUGACAUUCACCAUGCACUUUUCCUAGAUGAAAUGCACUGGACUGUGAAAAGAAUGCCCACCUAACCAAGGGAGAGGACAGCUUUUUUGUUCCAAUAGUUCAAAGCUUCCACUGAAAAAGAAGAAUCGUGGGACUGAUGCCUGGGGAACAUUUCAUCUUUCUGCUCUUACACCUCUUUUGUGCUGUUCCUGCCAAGAGAACAUUCCUUUGAGAGCUGCCUGGUACCAGCAUUCCUGCCUGCCCACGCGCUGAAUGCAGCCUUUGUGCAGCGGCUGCCCGGCUCACGGACACUGCGUGCUGCAGCCCCACGAGGUCACAGAUCCACUCACAGAGAGCAAUGGCUGAACCACCCUCUUCAAGCUGAACAACAACAGUAAUAAUAAUUUAAACACACACAUACACAAGCAUGCACGCUGUCUAUAUGUAACCACAUUUGCAUAAAAAGACUGCUAUUUUGAAACAAAGUGCACUGGUCAAGUGAAUAAAUCCCAUUUUCACAAGGGAUGCUUGGGCA
Numida meleagris (helmeted guineafowl) is the source of this 572-nucleotide long non-coding RNA. RefSeq lists it as uncharacterized. The transcript is spliced from 2 exons. The record is from RefSeq and is a predicted model, not a curated record. NCBI's taxonomy places the organism in Eukaryota, Metazoa, Chordata, Aves, Galliformes, Numididae.